This 290-nucleotide ribosomal RNA is filed under the name uncultured bacterium. RNAcentral describes it as "partial 16S ribosomal RNA". It matches the Rfam family "Bacterial small subunit ribosomal RNA", at positions 35 to 355 of the family's 1533-position model. The record is from RNAcentral.
GCUGGCGGCAGGCUUAACACAUGCAAGUCGAGCGCCCCGCAAGGGGAGCGGCAGACGGGUGAGUAACGCGUGGGAAUCUACCGUACCCUACGGAAUAACGCAUGGAAACGUGUGCUAAUACCGUAUACGCCCUAUGGGGGAAAGAUUUAUCGGGUAUGAUGAGCCCGCGUUGGAUUUAGCUAGUUGGUGGGGUUAAGGCCUACCAAGGCGACGAUCCAUAGGUGGUCUGAGAGGAUGAUCAGCCACAUUGGGACUGAGACACGGCCCAAACUCCUACGGGAGGCAGCAGU